GAUGAACGCUGGCGGCGUGCUUAACACAUGCAAGUCGAACGAAGCACUUUAUUUGAUUUCCUUCGGGACUGAUUAUUUUGUGACUGAGUGGCGGACGGGUGAGUAACGCGUGGGUAACCUGCCUUGUACAGGGGGAUAACAGUUGGAAACGGCUGCUAAUACCGCAUAAGCGCCCAGCAUCGCAUGAUGCAGUGUGAAAAACUCCGGUGGUAUAAGAUGGACCCGCGUUGGAUUAGCUAGUUGGUGAGGUAACGGCCCACCAAGGCGACGAUCCAUAGCCGACCUGAGAGGGUGACCGGCCACAGUGGGACUGAGACACGGCCCAAACUCCUACGGGAGGCAGCAGUGGGGAAUAUUGCACAAUGGGCGAAAGCCUGAUGCAGCGACGCCGCGUGAGCGAAGAAGUAUUUCGGGAUGUAAAGCUCUAUCAGCAGGGAAGAUAAUGACGGUACCUGACUAAGAAGCACCGGCUAAAUACGUG
RNAcentral lists this ribosomal RNA (481 nucleotides) under uncultured bacterium. RNAcentral describes it as "partial 16S ribosomal RNA". It matches the Rfam family "Bacterial small subunit ribosomal RNA", at positions 28 to 507 of the family's 1533-position model. The record is from RNAcentral.